This 688-nucleotide ribosomal RNA is filed under the name uncultured bacterium. Its description in RNAcentral is "partial 16S ribosomal RNA". The record is from RNAcentral.
CUAGGCAUUUCACCGCUACACUACACAUUCUAUCUACUUCCAUAUGACUCAAGUCAACCAGUAUCAAAGGCAGUUCCAUAGUUGAGCUAUGGGAUUUCACCUCUGACUUAAUCGACCGCCUGCGGACCCUUUAAACCCAAUGAUUCCGGAUAACGCUCGGACCCUCCGUAUUACCGCGGCUGCUGGCACGGAGUUAGCCGGUCCUUAUUCUUACAGUACCGUCAAGCUGGUAUACAUACCAGUGUUUCUUCCUGUAUAAAAGUAGUUUACAACCCAUAGGGCAUUCUUCCUACACGCGGCAUGGCUGGAUCAGAGUCUCCUCCAUUGUCCAAUAUUCCUCACUGCUGCCUCCCGUAGGAGUCUGGUCCGUGUCUCAGUACCAGUGUGGGGGAUCUCCCUCUCAGGACCCCUACCUAUCGCUGUCUUGGUAAGCCGUUACCUUACCAACUAACUAAUAGGAUGCAUAGCCAUCUUUUACCGAUAAAUCUUUAAUUAUAAACUGAUGCCAGUCUACAAUACUAUGAGGCAUUAAUCUUCAUUUCUAAAGGCUAUUCCUCUGUAAAAGGUAGGUUCUAUACGCGUUACGCACCCGUGCGCCGGUCGUCAUCUGUGCAAGCACAAUGUUACCCCUCGACUUGCAUGUGUUAAGCCUGCCGCUAGCGUUCAUCCUGAACCAGGAUCAAACUAU